GACGAACGCUGGCGGCGUGCUUAACACAUGCAAGUCGAACGGAAAGGCCCUGCUUUUGUGGGGUGGUCGAGUGGCGAACGGGUGAGUAACACGUGAGUAACCUGCCCUUGCCUUUGGGAUAACUUCAGGAAACUGAGGCUCAUACCGCCUAGGAGCUCCUGCUGCAUGGUGGGGGUUGGAAAGUUUCGGCGGUUGGUGAUGGACUCGCGGCUUAUCAGCUUGGUGGUGAGGUAGUGGCUUACCAAGGCCUUGACCGGUAGCCGGCCUGGGAGGGGAACAGGAUAAAUUGGGCCUGAGAUGAGGCCCAGACUCGAAUGGGAGGCAGAAGUGGGGAAUAGUACACAAUGGGCGGGAGCCUGAUGCAGCAACGCCGCGUGGGGGGUGACAGGCAUGGGGUAGGAAACCGAAUUCGCUUGUGACGAAGCGUGAGUGACGGUAACGGGUAAAUAAGCACCGGCUAACUACGUG
This 468-nucleotide ribosomal RNA is filed under the name uncultured bacterium. Its description in RNAcentral is "partial 16S ribosomal RNA". It matches the Rfam family "Bacterial small subunit ribosomal RNA", at positions 28 to 507 of the family's 1533-position model. The record is from RNAcentral.